RNAcentral lists this ribosomal RNA (516 nucleotides) under uncultured bacterium. Its description in RNAcentral is "bacterial SSU rRNA". It matches the Rfam family "Bacterial small subunit ribosomal RNA", at positions 355 to 863 of the family's 1533-position model. The record is from RNAcentral.
UGGGGAAUCUUGCGCAAUGGGCGAAAGCCUGACGCAGCGACGCCGCGUGAGGGAGGAAGGCCUUCGGGUUGUAAACCUCUUUCAGGAGGGACGAAGCUACUCGGGUUAAUAGCCCAGAGGGUGACGGUACCUCCAGAAGAAGCCCCGGCUAACUACGUGCCAGCAGCCGCGGUAAUACGUAGGGGGCGAAGCGUUGUCCGGAUUUACUGGGCGUAAAGCGCGUGUAGGCGGCCGCACAGGUCCGUUGUGAAAACUGGAGGCUUAACCUCCAGACGUCGACGGAAACCGUGUGGCUAGAGUCCGGAAGAGGAGAGUGAAAUUCCUGGUGUAGCGGUGAAAUGCGCAGAUAUCAGGAAGAACACCAUGGCGAAGGCAGCUCUCUGGGACGGUACUGACGCUGAGACGCGAAAGCGUGGGGAGCGAACAGGAUUAGAUACCCUGGUAGUCCACGCCGUAAACGAUGGGUGCUAGGUGUGGGAGGUGUCGACUCCUUCCGUGCCGUAGCUAACGCAUUAA